UACGUAGGUGGCAAGCGUUGUCCGGAAUUACUGGGCGUAAAGGGCGAGUAGGCGGUAAUACAAGUCAGAUGUGAAAGGCGAGGGCUCAACCCUCGGAUUGCAUUUGAAACUGUGUAACUUGAGUGCGGUAGAGGAAAGUGGAAUUCCCAGUGUAGCGGUGAAAUGCGUAGAUAUUGGGAGGAACACCAGUGGCGAAGGCGACUUUCUGGGCCGUAACUGACGCUGAGGCGCGAAAGCGUGGGGAGCGAACAGGAUUAGAUACCCUGGUAGUCCACGCCGUAAACGAUGGAUGCUAGGUGUGGGAGGUAUCGACCCCUUCCGUGCCGGAGUUAACGCAAUAAGCAUCCCGCCUGGGGAGUACGACCGCAAGGUUGAA
This 376-nucleotide ribosomal RNA is filed under the name uncultured bacterium. Its description in RNAcentral is "bacterial SSU rRNA". It matches the Rfam family "Bacterial small subunit ribosomal RNA", at positions 524 to 898 of the family's 1533-position model. The record is from RNAcentral.